GAUGAACGCUGGCGGCGUGCUUAACACAUGCAAGUCGAACGGAAAGGCUCCUGCUUGCAGGGGCACUCGAGUGGCGAACGGGUGAGUAACACGUGGGUGAUCUGCCCUGCACUUCGGGAUAAGCCUGGGAAACUGGGUCUAAUACCGGAUAGGACCAUCGUUUAGUGUCGGUGGUGGAAAGUUUUUUCGGUGUGGGAUGAGCUCGCGGCCUAUCAGCUUGUUGGUGGGGUAAUGGCCUACCAAGGCGUCGACGGGUAGCCGGCCCGAGAGGGUGGACGGCCACAUUGGGACUGAGAUACGGCCCAGACUCCUACGGGAGGCAGCAGUGGGGAAUAUUGCACAAUGGGCGCAAGCCUGAUGCAGCGACGCCGCGUGGGGGAUGACGGCCUUCGGGUUGUAAACUCCUUUCGCCAGGGACGAAGCGAAAGUGACGGUACCUGGAUAAGAAGCACCGGCUAACUACGUG
This 466-nucleotide ribosomal RNA is filed under the name uncultured bacterium. Its description in RNAcentral is "partial 16S ribosomal RNA". It matches the Rfam family "Bacterial small subunit ribosomal RNA", at positions 28 to 507 of the family's 1533-position model. The record is from RNAcentral.